RNAcentral lists this non-coding RNA (166 nucleotides) under human gut metagenome. The record is from RNAcentral.
CAUGGCGACAUGGAAUCUGAAGGAAGCUGGAGGCAAAAUCCUGAACCGACGAACAGAAAUCACAUUAGGCCGAAGUAGAGCGGACGAGUUUGCAUAACAAAACGAAGUCCAAUACUACCCGAACUCUACACGGUAGAUGUGGCGGUUACAUGGGAGGAAGGUUGUU